GGCGGCGUGCCUAACACAUGCAAGUCUUGGGAGAAAGAGGUAGCAAUAUCUUGAGUAAACCGGCGCAAGGGUGCGUAACACGUAGGCAACCUGCCCUAAGGACGGGAAUAACUUCGAGAAAUCGAGGCUAAUACCCGAUAAUGCAGCGGCACCGCAUGGUGACAGUUGUUAAAUGCCCGCAAGGGUUCCUUUGGAUGGGCCUGCGUCCCAUUAGGUAGUUGGUGAGGUAACGGCUCACCAAGCCGACGAUGGGUAGCUGGUCUGAGAGGACGAUCAGCCACACUGGAACUGAGACACGGUCCAGACUCCUACGGGAGGCAGCAGUGAGGAAUAUUGCACAAUGCCCGAAAGGGUGAUGCAGCGACGCCGCGUGAAGGAUGAAGGCCCUAUGGGUCGUAAACUUCUUUUGAGGGGGAAGAAUAUGCCGCUACAGGCGGUAUUGACUGUACCUCUAGAAAAAGCAUCGGCUAACUACGUGCCAGCAGCCGCGGUAAUACGUAGGAUGCGAGCGUUGUCCGGAAUCACUGGGUGUAAAGGGAGCGCAGGCGGUUUAGCAAGUCAUUGGUGAAAUUCUCGGGCUCAACCCGGGGACUGCCAAUGAUACUGCUGAUCUUGAGUGUGGAAGAGGUAGAUGGAAUUCCUGGUGUAGCG
RNAcentral lists this ribosomal RNA (651 nucleotides) under uncultured bacterium. RNAcentral's name for it is "bacterial SSU rRNA". It matches the Rfam family "Bacterial small subunit ribosomal RNA", at positions 38 to 680 of the family's 1533-position model. The record is from RNAcentral.